AACGAACGCUGGUGGCGUGCUUAACACAUGCAAGUCGAACGAGAAAAUUUCCUUCGGGAAAUUAGUAAAGUGGCGCAAGGGUGAGUAUCACGUGAAUAAUCUGCCCUCGAGAUCGGGAUAACAUGGUGAAAACUAUGCUAAUACCGGAUAAGACCACAUUUCAUAAGAAAUGCGGUAAAAGGAGUCUCAAUCUUCACUCGAGGAUGAGUUCGCGCAACAUUAGCUUGUUGGUGAGAUAAAAGCUCACCAAGGCUACGAUGUUUAGCCGGCCUGAGAGGGUGAACGGCCACACUGGAACUGAGACACGGCCCAAACUCCUACGGGAGGCAGCAGUGGGGAAUCUUGCACAAUGGGAGAAAUCCUGAUGCAGCGAUGCCGCGUGAGUGAAG
This 389-nucleotide ribosomal RNA is filed under the name uncultured Nitrospina sp. Its description in RNAcentral is "bacterial SSU rRNA". It matches the Rfam family "Bacterial small subunit ribosomal RNA", at positions 29 to 410 of the family's 1533-position model. The record is from RNAcentral. Lineage: Bacteria; Pseudomonadati; Nitrospinota; Nitrospinia; Nitrospinales; Nitrospinaceae.